Molecule: ribosomal RNA, 253 nt
Filed under: uncultured bacterium
Lineage: Bacteria
Description: partial 16S ribosomal RNA
Rfam family: Bacterial small subunit ribosomal RNA
Source: RNAcentral
UACGUAGGGGGCAAGCGUUGUCCGGAAUUAUUGGGCGUAAAGAGCGUGUAGGCGGUCCGGUAAGUCAGCUGUGAAAGUCAAGGGCUCAACCCUUGAAUGCCGGUUGAUACUGUCGGGCUAGAGUCCGGAAGAGGCGAGUGGAAUUCCCGGUGUAGCGGUGAAAUGCGCAGAUAUCGGGAGGAACACCAAUGGCGAAGGCGGCUCGCUGGGCUUGGUCUGACGCUGAGGCGCGAAAGCGUGGGGAGCGAACAGG